UACGAAGGGGGCUAGCGUUGUUCGGAAUCACUGGGCGUAAAGGGCGCGUAGGCGGCUUUGUAAGUCAGGGGUGAAAUCCUGGAGCUCAACUCCAGAACUGCCUUUGAUACUGAGGAUCUUGAGUUCGGGAGAGGUGAGUGGAACUGCGAGUGUAGAGGUGAAAUUCGUAGAUAUUCGCAAGAACACCAGUGGCGAAGGCGGCUCACUGGCCCGAUACUGACGCUGAGGCACGAAAGCGUGGGGAGCAAACAGG
RNAcentral lists this ribosomal RNA (253 nucleotides) under uncultured bacterium. RNAcentral describes it as "partial 16S ribosomal RNA". It matches the Rfam family "Bacterial small subunit ribosomal RNA", at positions 524 to 776 of the family's 1533-position model. The record is from RNAcentral.